AGAACUCCCCCCCGCUUGUUAACUGGGCAUUAAAUUAAAUUCAGGUUAUAUAAUAAAUAAAUAAGUGAAUAAUAAUACUGAUUUGAAGAAAAGAAACCACAACCAACAAAAGAGCACAGUUGUACAGGAAAAUAAAAAUAUAAAGGAAAAGGAAAAAUAUAGAAAACAAACAAUGUUCUGAAUUCUAAUAUCCGUCUAUGGGAUUCGAAUAACAUAUGCCAGUCUAUCUAUCUUUCUAUAUAUCCAGAAAGCUCAAAUGAAUGGUGAUAUGACUAUUCUUGCAAAACAAAAUGAGCUUCAAAGAUUAGGUAUUAAAUAUUCCAGCUAAAUUUCACUUACAAUCACUGAAAUUUAUGGGUUAUUACAA
This 367-nucleotide unclassified non-coding RNA is filed under the name Hevea brasiliensis (rubber tree). The record is from RNAcentral. Lineage: Eukaryota; Viridiplantae; Streptophyta; Magnoliopsida; Malpighiales; Euphorbiaceae.